Molecule: ribosomal RNA, 328 nt
Filed under: uncultured Fusibacter sp.
Lineage: Bacteria; Bacillati; Bacillota; Clostridia; Eubacteriales; Fusibacteraceae
Description: bacterial SSU rRNA
Rfam family: Bacterial small subunit ribosomal RNA
Source: RNAcentral
AGCUCGUGUCGUGAGAUGUUGGGUUAAGUCCCGCAACCGAGCGCAACCCUUGUGUUUAGUUGCAAACAGGUCAAGCUGUGCACUCUAGACAGACUGCCGUGGACAACACGGAGGAAGGUGGGGAUGACGUCAAAUCAUCAUGCCCCUUAUGAUCUGGGCUACACACGUGCUACAAUGGCCGGUACAACGGGCAGCGAAGGAGGCGAUCCGGAGCGAAUCCUAAAAAGCCGGUCCCAGUUCGGAUUGCAGGCUGAAACUCGCCUACAUGAAGUUGGAGUUGCUAGUAAUCGCGAAUCAGAAUGUCGCGGUGAAUGCGUUCCCGGGUCUU